This 301-nucleotide ribosomal RNA is filed under the name uncultured bacterium. Its description in RNAcentral is "partial 16S ribosomal RNA". It matches the Rfam family "Bacterial small subunit ribosomal RNA", at positions 509 to 807 of the family's 1533-position model. The record is from RNAcentral.
CAGCAGCCGCGGGAAUACGGAGGGUGCAAGCGUUAAUCGGAAUUACUGGGCGUAAAGCGCACGCAGGCGGUCUGACAAGUCAGAUGUGAAAUCCCCGGGCUUAACCUGGGAACUGCAUUUGAAACUGUCAGGCUGGAGUCUUGUAGAGGGGGGUAGAAUUCCAGGUGUAGCGGUGAAAUGCGUAGAGAUCUGGAGGAAUACCGGUGGCGAAGGCGGCCCCCUGGACAAAGACUGACGCUCAGGUGCGAAAGCGUGGGGAGCAAACAGGAUUAGAUACCCGAGUAGUCCCUGUCUCUUAUAC